Long non-coding RNA from Leptopilina heterotoma, 651 nucleotides. RefSeq lists it as uncharacterized. The record is from RefSeq and is a predicted model, not a curated record. The transcript is spliced from 2 exons. Lineage: Eukaryota; Metazoa; Arthropoda; Insecta; Hymenoptera; Figitidae.
GCGCCAACACAGCAACUUAAGUCCCCCACUUUUUAUUUUUCUUCGAUAUGUCGCAGGUAUAUUUUACAAGCAACGUAAACUGUGUAAACAGUUGAUUGACUCAUAACUGACUAGUUCUUAAAAUUUUCAAAGCGAUUACGAUUGCCAUUUGUAAAUAAUUUACUAACUUUUCUAGAAGUUAAAAAAAUAAUGUAACUUCUCAAAAAGAGAAAAAAAUAAUCCAACAUAUCGUAAAAAAUUACUUUAAUAAAUGUGAAUUUAUUUCAAAUAUAUAAUGAGUGUGGCAGUGUGGUGUAUUCAAACUUUUAUUUUGCGGCCAUUGCAAUCAUUAUGGCUGAUGUGUAAAAAAAAGACAAUUUCUUGGAAAUCACAAAUUUUAUAAAAAGGCUGUUACAAAAAUGUUCAAUCAUAAACCUAAAGAUGUUCAAGGCAGUUACAUCAAAACGGAAAAAAAUCAAAAUAUUUAUUAUUUAAGGUUUCUUCGAAACAUUGUAAGUUAAACUGCUAUUAGAAUAAGUCCGAGGGAGAUGGCCAAUUAAAAAAUUUUACAGAAUUUGUAAAAAAGUGUAACUUAUUAUGGGUUAUUCUUCAACUUUUUGUGACUAAAACUAAAUGUAAACAAUAAAUUCUUGAAAAGUCAUAAAAAUGUAA